UACGUAGGGGGCAAGCGUUGUCCGGAUUUAUUGGGCGUAAAGAGCGUGUAGGCGGCUUGACAGGUCUGCUGUGAAAAUUCGAGGCUCAACCUCGAGAUGUCGGCGGAAACCGUCUGGCUAGAGUCCGGAAGAGGAGAGUGGAAUUCCUGGUGUAGCGGUGAAAUGCGCAGAUAUCAGGAAGAACACCUAUGGCGAAGGCAGCUCUCUGGGACGGUACUGACGCUGAGACGCGAAAGCGUGGGGAGCGAACAGG
This 253-nucleotide ribosomal RNA is filed under the name uncultured bacterium. Its description in RNAcentral is "partial 16S ribosomal RNA". It matches the Rfam family "Bacterial small subunit ribosomal RNA", at positions 524 to 776 of the family's 1533-position model. The record is from RNAcentral.